Molecule: ribosomal RNA, 498 nt
Filed under: uncultured bacterium
Lineage: Bacteria
Description: partial 16S ribosomal RNA
Rfam family: Bacterial small subunit ribosomal RNA
Source: RNAcentral
AUUGAACGCUGGCGGCAUGCCUUACACAUGCAAGUCGAACGGUAACAGGUCUUCGGAUGCUGACGAGUGGCGAACGGGUGAGUAAUACAUCGGAACGUGCCUAGUAGUGGGGGUUAACUCCCCGAAAGAGUGGCAAAUACCGCUUGGGACCACCGAAGGAAAGCAGGGGAUGGAAAAACCUUGUGUACUAAGAGCGGCGGGUGGCGGAUUAGGUAGUUGGGGGGAUAAAGGCUUACCAAGCGGACGAGCUGUAGCUGGUCUGGGAGGACGAUCAGCCACAAUGGGACUGAGAAACGGCCCAGACUCCUACGGGAGGCAGCAGUGGGGAAUUUUGGACAAUGGGCGCAAGCCUGAUCCAGCAAUGCCGCGUGCAGGAUGAAGGCCUUCGGGUUGUAAACUGCUUUUGUACGGAUCGACAAGCCCCGGGUUAAUACCCUGGGGUCAUGACGGUACCGUAAGAAUAAGCACCGGCUAACUACGUGCCAGCCGCCGCCGUAA